Molecule: small RNA, 2300 nt
Filed under: Malus domestica (apple)
Lineage: Eukaryota; Viridiplantae; Streptophyta; Magnoliopsida; Rosales; Rosaceae
Description: sRNA MD05G0228800
Source: RNAcentral
AUGGUCAUUGUAGUCUGUAGGGUUUCGAACGGGUUGGGUGGGUUAAGAGACUUUCAUUUCCUUUCUUUGUGAGCUGCAGUGGUGCCGUCGGGAGAGAGAGCGAGCGAGCAGAGAGAGAAUAGAGACAGGGAGGGAGAGAGAGAGAUUUGGUGAGAGGAAGGCAUGCGGCUUGCAGGCAGACAGAGUCACAGGGGGUGUACGAUUGGAGGGAGAGAAAGGGGUUGGUUUCGAAAGCUCUACCUAGGGUUGUUCCUGCAAGAUUUCAACAGCGUUUUCCCUCUUCUCCACUAUUUUCCUUCAUUCCCUUUUCUCUGAACCAGAAACCUAGAUUCCUCUUCUCGAGUCCCUCCCAGUGUGGAACCCCCGCCACCACCAGGUGCCACAGCUGCGUCAAAGGUUUGCGUGUUGAAUUUCACAUCAACGGCAUCUCCCUAUAACCUAGGAGCUUGGUUCCGAUCGGGCGAUUCCGGAGGACCUGCCAUCGAGAUCUAUAGAGGAUGAUGAAAGCUUUUCGUCAUUGAUCUUUGGAGAAACAGAGGCAUGCAUAUAAAAGAUAGCUCCACGAUUGGCUAACAUGAAUCUUGGUAUCUUCAUAUGCAUGCAAUGUUCAGGGAUCCACAGUAGUCUUGGGGUACAUAUAUCAAAGGUGAGAUCUGCCACUUUGGAUACAUGGCUCCCAGAGCAGGUUGCAUAUAUCCAAUGGUGAAAACGAGUGAGGAAUGACAUGGGAAGAGGGGAGAAAGAGGACAAAAGAAUGGUUUCUGCUACUUUCAAUGCUUUGGGUUAAAAAAAUAAAAAGAGUAUGCGGUGUGGAAGCACACCAGCGAGGCCUUACUUACGAUGUCGAACUCAAAUGUGGCUGUAAUCUAACCCCUCAAAUUCCAACAUAGCAUGUAGGAAUGCUAACGUUUCCUGUGUGAUCUUCAUACAAAGGUGCAAGACAUAUGAGCUUUUAAUCAAGAAGGACAUGAUACGACUACUGUAUUAUUUUACUUAUUGUAUAGUGCUUCAGAGAGAAGAGUAGAGACAAUUAGUUCUCAUUAGAGUUCUCAUUUGUAGAUCGAUUGGUAGGCCUUUGUAUCCAACUAUUUUUAGCGGCUUCUACCAUGAAACUCAGAUACUCUCUUGGUUUCUUCCUUAUGCACACGAGGUAAUUCCACGAGGUUAUUCUGAGCAGAGAGUACUCAAGGAGGGCAUGUUUGAGGACCUGAGCUUGGCCAACAAGCAGCUCCGGUUUGUUUUGAGAUUUUUAAUGGUGUGCUUUCUCUUGAAUCGGCGAGAGAUGGUCUGGCAGCUGCUCAAUCAGCUCAGAGUCUUGGUUGAUGAGUGCAAGAGGACCUUCCAGCCAUGGGUAAUGAAAAGGGAAACAGUUAUUGGAAAAAAGAAUUGCCACCAAAUUUUGACAGAAGUGGGACAGAGGAAUUUAUUCGUGCCAAAUAUGAGGGAAAACUGUGGGUUGCGAAGAAUGCAAAGCAACCAGUUCCUCUCUUAAUUCUGAUUUGUGAAGGAGCCCGUGCUUUUCCUCAAAUCGACGUUGUCUUACUUGAUAAACGGCGGCACGAUCGAAGUCCCUCACCCUCUGUUAUCGUUGGACCAUGAGGUGGCGGUGAUCAUCUCUCAGAAAGCUCGCAAUGUUCCGCAAUCCACCGCCAUGGAUUACGUUGCGGGUUAUGCACUUGCUUUGGAUAUGACUGCCAGAGAAAUUCAAGCUUCUGCUAAGAUAAAAUCUACAGAGAUUAGAAAGAGAAAAAGGGCAAAGGAAAGCUACGGUGACUCUCGGAAGAUGGUUCAAGUCUCUGUUGGAGGGGAGAAUCAGACCAUUGAGUGGGCUAUACAACUAACAGUUGCUCUGAACAUUGCCAAAGCAUUAGAUCACUGCAGCAGCGAAUGCCGCCCAUUGUACCAUGACUUAAAUGCAUACAUGGAUCACUUUGAUAAGAGUUGGCUUCAUUUCAGUCCAGUAACUCUCUAAAUAGGUCCAAUAACUCACUAAAUAGGCAAGUCGAGAAGAAUUCAGCGUUGCACGCCUUUUUUGCUUAUUUGAUUGUAUUUGUGGUUUCCUGGGGACGAACAAAUCCUCUCCUUAAACGUUGAUUCUCAGACGAAUCACAUUUCUGAUGACCUCUGGGAGAGAAUGAUUAGUUGGAGGUUUAAGCUUUUGAUAAGAUACAAAUUGAAACAUUAAUUUGUGUUUGUGUGUUUAUCUCUAUAUAUAUACAUAUGUGUAAUCAUUUGCUGCUCUACUUAAUCAUCAUAUUUUUUAUUUGGGUUUCUGAAGUUCCGGGACGAGUUCACCGCGA